Molecule: ribosomal RNA, 836 nt
Filed under: uncultured Lutibacter sp.
Lineage: Bacteria; Pseudomonadati; Bacteroidota; Flavobacteriia; Flavobacteriales; Flavobacteriaceae
Description: bacterial SSU rRNA
Rfam family: Bacterial small subunit ribosomal RNA
Source: RNAcentral
UCAGGAUGAACGCUAGCGGCAGGCUUAACACAUGCAAGUCGAGGGGUAACAUUGUAGCUUGCUACAGAUGACGACCGGCGCACGGGUGCGUAACGCGUAUAGAACCUACCUUUUACAGGGGAAUAGCCCAGAGAAAUUUGGAUUAAUGCCCCAUAGUAUUGUUGAAUGGCAUCGUUUAACAAUUAAACAUUUAUGGGUAAAAGAUGGCUAUGCGUUCUAUUAGCUAGAUGGUAAGGUAACGGCUUACCAUGGCAACGAUAGAUAGGGGUCCUGAGAGGGAGAUCCCCCACACUGGUACUGAGACACGGACCAGACUCCUACGGGAGGCAGCAGUGAGGAAUAUUGGACAAUGGAGGCAACUCUGAUCCAGCCAUGCCGCGUGCAGGAAGACGGCCCUAUGGGUUGUAAACUGCUUUUAUAUAGGAAGAAACCUUUCCACGUGUGGAAAGCUGACGGUACUAUAAGAAUAAGCACCGGCUAACUCCGUGCCAGCAGCCGCGGUAAUACGGAGGGUGCAAGCGUUAUCCGGAAUCAUUGGGUUUAAAGGGUCCGUAGGCGGACUGAUAAGUCAGGGGUGAAAUCCAACAGCUUAACUGUUGAACUGCCCUUGAUACUGUUAGUCUUGAAUUAUAUGGAAGUAGAUAGAAUGUGUAGUGUAGCGGUGAAAUGCUUAGAGAUUACACAGAAUACCGAUUGCGAAGGCAGUCUACUACGUAUAUAUUGACGCUAAUGGACGAAAGCGUGGGGAGCGAACAGGAUUAGAUACCCUGGUAGUCCACGCCGUAAACGAUGGACACUAGUUGUUGGAUUUAUUCAGUGACUAAGCGAAAGUGAUA